AUGGGCAUGAUGGGAUGUCGUGCAGCCCCUACGCCGAUUGAACAAAAUCAUCGAGUGACAGCUCAAUCAGGUGAGCUGGUGAAUAAGGAAGAUUAUCAGAAAUUAGUUGGGAGGUUAUUGUACUUGUGUCAUACCAGGCCUGACAUUACGUAUGCCGUGGGUGUGGUGAGCAGAUACAUGCAUGAACCAAGGAGUGGGCAUCUUGAUAUUGUGCACAGAAUUCUGAGAUACUUAAAGGGGACUCCGGGUAAAGGGUUGUGGUUUGCGAAGAGUGGACAUCUUGAGGUGGAUGGCUAUAGUGACUCUGAUUGGGCCAGUUGUCAAGAUGAUAGAAGAUCAACUUCUGGCUACUGUGUGUUUGUGGGAGGAAAUUUGGUGUCAUGA
RNAcentral lists this ribosomal RNA (384 nucleotides) under Triticum aestivum (bread wheat). Its description in RNAcentral is "partial small subunit ribosomal RNA". The record is from RNAcentral. Lineage: Eukaryota; Viridiplantae; Streptophyta; Magnoliopsida; Poales; Poaceae.